Molecule: long non-coding RNA, 1228 nt
Filed under: Equus caballus (horse)
Lineage: Eukaryota; Metazoa; Chordata; Mammalia; Perissodactyla; Equidae
Description: lncRNA (ENSECAG00000040775.2)
Source: RNAcentral
GCCACUACAGAAUAAGUCUUGAGUCAAAAGUGAAGAAAACACAACAUUGCAAAUAUAAUAGUUUAUCAGUCCAGCUCAUUGUCAUUACUAUGUCACUACUAUGCUCCCUCUGGGCAGCGGUGCAUUACGACUGUCUCUUGCCCCCUCUCUCCCUACUCAGACUCAGCUCCCUCCCAGAUUUUCUUGGGCUUAGCUACUUAUCAAAUAGCAUUUCUUUUUCCAUUCAGAAGCAAUAUUAGGCUGCAUUUGACAAAGACGCUUUACUGUGAGUACAAGUUUGAUGAAGUGACAAAUAUUUAAGGAAAAUGAAUUAAAUGAGCAUGUGUUUUUCUUUCAUACGUGAGGCAUCAAUGGUAGAGAAAAAUAUCUAACUUAUAAAUGAAAAGUUAUAUGAAAAGAAAAUGAGCAGUAAUCUAAUUGGGUUAAUUAGAUUAUGUUACACCUAUGGAUCCACAUUCUGGCUUCCGUAUUUACUAAUUAUAUAACUUGGGGCAAGUUGCUUAACUUUUGUGCCUCACUUUCAUUUACCAUGAAAAUAGAAUCACGAUUAUACUUACUGUAUGUGUUUCGAAAAAGAACACAUGAAAUAAUUUGCAUAUAUAAGAAAAAGAGCUCACAAGAGUGACUGCACAUAGUGAGUACGUAUAAAUGUCAGCUAUUGUUAGGUUUGAUGACCAAAAUCACAAACCUGAGUCUUUUUAGGGAUGCACGUUGGUUUACUCAGGGCUUAUAAAUACUCUCUUAAUCACAAAACUGUUCUCUCUGGGUAAGACGCCUCAACAUGUUUAAGGAGGAACAAUGUGAGAAUUAGUGUUAAACUAGUACAUGACAAAAUAUUUAAGAAGUGGGAUAUAGCGUUCCAGAAAAUUGAUUUAGAAUGCACUGUGGUUCAAGAGCAUGAUACAAGGCCUCCUUUUCUUCCUCCUAACGCUCACUAGUCUCUUUCAUAGGAUGGGACAGAGCUGGUCCACUGAGGGCUGCAUAGGCCCAAGGGGAUGUGAGCUGCAGAUGACAUCAGCUGUGACUUCCUGCAUGCCCCAUUCUCUGGGAUUGGACUGAAGCUUUAUCUUGGGAGCCUGGAGCACUUUGUCGAGGUCUUGGAUGAAAGAUUGGGAGAUGAGGUGAAUUGGUGGGAAGGAUGAUUUCAGGAAUCCUGUCUUCUAAUGUUGAAUUUGGCAGAAAUCAACAAUCCAAUUCAGGAUAAAGCCCAGGAAAUCUGGUACCUGGA